This is a long non-coding RNA of Astatotilapia calliptera (eastern happy), 1086 nucleotides long. The record is from Ensembl. Lineage: Eukaryota; Metazoa; Chordata; Actinopteri; Cichliformes; Cichlidae.
GUCCCACCCAGUUAAAGCGGGUAUUGGUGGAGCGAAAACGUUGACCAAGCCCAGACAGGCUGGAGUAGAAUAUACUUCAGAUCUUAUUUGUGAUUGACAGCCAGACCGAGGACACUUAAUGAUCGCGGAGGCUGGGCAAACCCGGUCCUGCAGCGGCUGGAGUAGUUUUGAGUGGAAUAGGCACACCGAUGAAUACAAAGCAGAGAAAGAGAGAGAUGCGAUAGAAGAAAAGUGAACAUUUCGGUGUCAUCUCCGGGUAAGCAGAAGCUUUUUUAUUGUCCACAUGACUCUCAUGAGAUUCUUGUUUGCUGCCUUUUGCCCACAGGGCAGCGAACACAGCGCGGAUUAGGGCUAUUACUUUUUAUUCUCUGCAUGCAUGUUGCUUUAUUUUAUUUUUUUUAAAUUUUUUUUUUAAAACAAGGUUAUUUCAAGGAUCAACUGAACUUUUUCUAGAAGCGUUCAUUUUGAAAGCGACCCGGUAGGUUGUCUGCACCAGUGAUCCGCAGCUGUUUGUUAUGCAAACAGUAAACGCAGCUAGGGGAAUGAAAGGAGAAGUCAGUGACGUUUGGGUUGGUGUAACCUACUUUUAAAGCGAACGCUAAACAGCUCUGUAGAUGUGCGACAUUGCGUUAAAGCCGCACACCGCAGCGUCAGUGUUUGGAUGUCAUGCAAAGUAGCUUACAAUGUGAAUUCUUGUUUAUAGUUUGGCUGUGAUGACACACACUCACAGAGCACAGGAAACUGUCCGAGGCUUCUACGGUUAUGAAACAUGUGGAACAAAAUAGUUAAUGUGUAACAGGGAAAGCAGACGUGGACCUUUGCAGAAUGAAACUUGGUUCAUAGAGUGUGGGGAAUUUCCUUCCUGGCCAGGAGCUGAUACAUCUGAGACAUUAAUGUACAUAAAUAAUGCUGGACUUAAACAGAACAAAUGCAGGCUGGAUUAAACAAGUAAUUCUAUUAGAUGGAUUACAGAUGAAAGCUGUGCAGGAAGGCGGUAAGUACACCUUUAUUGAGGUCACUGAAGUGAGUGCUCUGACCCAUGAUCAGUCAUGACCUUGAUGACUUAUCUAUCUGGUAGUAUCCCAC